RNAcentral lists this ribosomal RNA (500 nucleotides) under uncultured Rubrobacteria bacterium. Its description in RNAcentral is "bacterial SSU rRNA". It matches the Rfam family "Bacterial small subunit ribosomal RNA", at positions 1 to 488 of the family's 1533-position model. The record is from RNAcentral. Lineage: Bacteria; Bacillati; Actinomycetota; Rubrobacteria.
UGGCAUUAGAGUUUGAUCCUGGCUCAGGACGAACGCUGGCGGCGCGCUUAACACAUGCAAGUCGAGCGAGAACCGGCCCUUCGGGGCCGGGGAAAGCGGCGAACGGGUGAGUAACACGUGGGUAAUCUGCCCUCGGCAUCGGGAUAGCCCGGGGUAACCCGGAUUAAUACCGAAUGGCCCUGCAGCUCCACGGAGCGGCAGGAAAAGGUAGCUCCGGCCUCCGGCCGAGGAUGAGCCCGCGGCGGAUUAGCUUGUUGGUGGGGUAACGGCUCACCAAGGCGACGAUCCGUAGCUGGUCUGAGAGGACGAUCAGCCACACUGGGACUGAGACACGGCCCAGACUCCUACGGGAGGCAGCAGUGGGGAAUCUUGCGCAAUGGGCGAAAGCCUGACGCAGCGACGCCGCGUGCGGGAAGAAGGCCUUCGGGUUGUAAACCGCUUUCAGGAGGGACGAAGCCACUCGGGUUAAUAGCCCAGAAGGUGACGGUGCCUCCAGAAGA